AAGAGAUUUGGGAGUGCUCGAAAGAGAGCCAGAACACAGGUGCUGCAUGGCCGUCGUCAGCUCGUGUCGUGAGAUGUUGGGUUAAGUCCCGCAACGAGCGCAACCCUUGUCAUUAGUUGCUACGAAAGGGCACUCUAAUGAGACUGCCGGUGACAAACCGGAGGAAGGUGGGGAUGACGUCAGGUCAUCAUGGCCCUUAUGGGUAGGGCUACACACGUCAUACAAUGGACGGUACAGAGGGCUGCCAACCCGCGAGGGGGAGCCAAUCCCAGAAAACCGUUCGUAGUCCGGAUCGCAGUCUGCAACUCGACUGCGUGAAGUCGGAAUCGCUAGUAAUCGCGGAUCAGCUUGCCGCGGUGAAUACGUUCCCGGGUCUUGUACACACCGCCCGUCACACCAUGGGAGCGGGUUCUGCCAGAAGUAGUUAGCCUAACCGCAAGGAGGGCGAUUACCACGGCAGGGUUCGUGACUGGGGUGAAAGUCGU
RNAcentral lists this ribosomal RNA (485 nucleotides) under beta proteobacterium BAC33P. RNAcentral's name for it is "bacterial SSU rRNA". It matches the Rfam family "Bacterial small subunit ribosomal RNA", at positions 1001 to 1489 of the family's 1533-position model. Lineage: Bacteria; Pseudomonadati; Pseudomonadota; Betaproteobacteria. The record is from RNAcentral.